GACGAACGCUGGCGGCGUGCUUAACACAUGCAAGUCGAACGGAAAGGCCCUGCUUUUGUGGGGUGCUCGAGUGGCGAACGGGUGAGUAACACGGGAGUAACCUGCCCUUGACUUUGGGAUAACUUCAGGAAACUGGGGCUAAUACCGGAUAGGAGCUCCUGCUGCAUGGUGGGGGUUGGAAAGUUUCGGCGGUUGGGGAUGGACUCGCGGCUUAUCAGCUUGUUGGUGGGGUAGUGGCUUACCAAGGCUUUGACGGGUAGCCGGCCUGAGAGGGUGACCGGCCACAUUGGGACUGAGAUACGGCCCAGACUCCUACGGGAGGCAGCAGUGGGGAAUAUUGCACAAUGGGCGGAAGCCUGAUGCAGCAACGCCACGUGCGGGAUGACGGCCUUCGGGUUGUAAACCGCUUUCGCCUGUGACGAAGCGUGAGUGACGGUAAUGGGUAAAGAAGCACCGGCUAACUACGUG
Molecule: ribosomal RNA, 468 nt
Filed under: uncultured bacterium
Lineage: Bacteria
Description: partial 16S ribosomal RNA
Rfam family: Bacterial small subunit ribosomal RNA
Source: RNAcentral